AUGCAAUUGAGUCUGAAGAGUUGUAGAUGGUCAUUUUGAAAUUGAUUUCACUGAAAGAAGUAGAGAAGUUGUGAUAUGAAUUCCGAGGCCCUUCAAGUAGCCACGAUAUAGGACUGUUGCUUGAAGAACUGCAAUGGCACACAUGAUGGGAGAAUAGACGUGAUGAUUCAGAAAUUCCAGGAUCAGUAGAAUUUUUAAGUGGCCGAGUGAUCAAUAUAAAGUCCACGGGAUUUAGGUCCUGGUUUGAAGUUCCUUG
RNAcentral lists this unclassified non-coding RNA (256 nucleotides) under Hevea brasiliensis (rubber tree). The record is from RNAcentral. Lineage: Eukaryota; Viridiplantae; Streptophyta; Magnoliopsida; Malpighiales; Euphorbiaceae.